RNAcentral lists this ribosomal RNA (1205 nucleotides) under Escherichia coli. RNAcentral describes it as "partial 23S ribosomal RNA". It matches the Rfam family "Bacterial large subunit ribosomal RNA", at positions 612 to 1803 of the family's 2925-position model. Lineage: Bacteria; Pseudomonadati; Pseudomonadota; Gammaproteobacteria; Enterobacterales; Enterobacteriaceae. The record is from RNAcentral.
AUAAUGGGUCAGCGACUUAUAUUCUGUAGCAAGGUUAACCGAAUAGGGGAGCCGAAGGGAAACCGAGUCUUAACUGGGCGUUAAGUUGCAGGGUAUAGACCCGAAACCCGGUGAUCUAGCCAUGGGCAGGUUGAAGGUUGGGUAACACUAACUGGAGGACCGAACCGACUAAUGUUGAAAAAUUAGCGGAUGACUUGUGGCUGGGGGUGAAAGGCCAAUCAAACCGGGAGAUAGCUGGUUCUCCCCGAAAGCUAUUUAGGUAGCGCCUCGUGAAUUCAUCUCCGGGGGUAGAGCACUGUUUCGGCAAGGGGGUCAUCCCGACUUACCAACCCGAUGCAAACUGCGAAUACCGGAGAAUGUUAUCACGGGAGACACACGGCGGGUGCUAACGUCCGUCGUGAAGAGGGAAACAACCCAGACCGCCAGCUAAGGUCCCAAAGUCAUGGUUAAGUGGGAAACGAUGUGGGAAGGCCCAGACAGCCAGGAUGUUGGCUUAGAAGCAGCCAUCAUUUAAAGAAAGCGUAAUAGCUCACUGGUCGAGUCGGCCUGCGCGGAAGAUGUAACGGGGCUAAACCAUGCACCGAAGCUGCGGCAGCGACACUAUGUGUUGUUGGGUAGGGGAGCGUUCUGUAAGCCUGUGAAGGUGUACUGUGAGGUAUGCUGGAGGUAUCAGAAGUGCGAAUGCUGACAUAAGUAACGAUAAAGCGGGUGAAAAGCCCGCUCGCCGGAAGACCAAGGGUUCCUGUCCAACGUUAAUCGGGGCAGGGUGAGUCGACCCCUAAGGCGAGGCCGAAAGGCGUAGUCGAUGGGAAACAGGUUAAUAUUCCUGUACUUGGUGUUACUGCGAAGGGGGGACGGAGAAGGCUAUGUUGGCCGGGCGACGGUUGUCCCGGUUUAAGCGUGUAGGCUGGUUUUCCAGGCAAAUCCGGAAAAUCAAGGCUGAGGCGUGAUGACGAGGCACUACGGUGCUGAAGCAACAAAUGCCCUGCUUCCAGGAAAAGCCUCUAAGCAUCAGGUAACAUCAAAUCGUACCCCAAACCGACACAGGUGGUCAGGUAGAGAAUACCAAGGCGCUUGAGAGAACUCGGGUGAAGGAACUAGGCAAAAUGGUGCCGUAACUUCGGGAGAAGGCACGCUGAUAUGUAGGUGAAGUCCCUCGCGGAUGGAGCUGAAAUCAGUCGAAGAUACCAGCUGGCUGCAACUGU